Tupaia belangeri chinensis (Chinese tree shrew) is the source of this 1023-nucleotide long non-coding RNA. RefSeq lists it as uncharacterized. The record is from RefSeq and is a predicted model, not a curated record. The transcript is spliced from 4 exons. NCBI's taxonomy places the organism in Eukaryota, Metazoa, Chordata, Mammalia, Scandentia, Tupaiidae.
AGGGCCGCCGCCCGAGUGCGCCGCCGCCGCCCGGGUGCUGUGCGGCCGACCGGACCGCGCGCGGGCUGGCUUUGUUUGUGCUUCGCCCGGGUCUCGCUCUCUGUGUGUCUCUGUCUCCCCGCAGCGCUGUGGGUUUGCAUCCCGCGGGCCCGGUCUCCUCCCGUCGCCACCGCCGCUGUCCCAAUCCUCGGAGCGCACAGGUGUGGGUGCCCCUCCCCCUGUAGGUCGGCGCUCCCGCCUCGCUGACCCCAACCUCCUCGGAAAGCGUGCCCAAGUCCCCCACCCACUCCAGAAGCUGGUGUCCCCUGAGCCUUUCAGGGAACUUUGGCCGUCAGCGUUCUCUGCGGCCAUUCUUCCCCACUGAGAAACCAAGGUGCGCCUCUACCUCACUGUUGCUUACACAUGGAAUAAAGUGGUUUCCUUAGGUGAACUUUGGAGACGCCGACCGCCUGUUGUGAAAUGUGCAGUCUGGGGCUGAGAAAUGCGCAGUCUAUGCUUCCCUGUCACGGCGAAGAAUUGAAGCACAAGGGAACAAGCUGCUGAGCACGCGGUUCAUCGAAGGAAAUGAUGUCUCAUGACUCAGGGCGUUAUUUGAGUUAGAUGGAUGUCACAACACAGACCGUCACGCAGUCCCAGCUUCCAGUUUCGUUGUGCUCCAGGUUAGUUCCCUGAUCUGAAUCUGCCUCACCAAGCUUAUCAUCCCCAAUGACUCCCAACUGCCUGAUUGUCCAGGAGUAGAACCCGUCACCGGGGCCAGAGAAGACCUUGGCUAUGCCCAGCAAUGCCAGCAGGUGCAGGCUGGCCAGCAGGCGGUGUCAGGGACCGGUCUCUGAACCGUGGGGCUGGACUGCCCAUGCCCGGAUGCCAUGUGGCUCUAAUGUUCUGUGAGCUGGAUGUGAGACCCCAGCGUGGGAGAACACGGAGCAGCGAUGCAGUCCAGCCCCAGUGUGUGCUCUGUCCUGGCCGUCCACGCUCACCUUCAGGGAACAAACAGUCCAUUCCAUCACCUAGCCAAUAGUAGAU